GGCUGGUCCAAAGGUAGUGAGUUAUCCAUCUGAUUUCUCAGUCAGUUUCAGAUCAAACUCCUUGUCCUACUCUUCUCCUUCUUCUCAUUACUGCACUUGACUAGUAUAGA
This 110-nucleotide Y RNA is filed under the name Carlito syrichta (Philippine tarsier). RNAcentral describes it as "Y RNA (ENSTSYG00000021172.2)". It matches the Rfam family "Y RNA". Rfam says of the family: Y RNAs are components of the Ro ribonucleoprotein particle (Ro RNP), in association with Ro60 and La proteins. The Y RNAs and Ro60 and La proteins are well conserved, but the function of the Ro RNP is not known. The record is from RNAcentral. Lineage: Eukaryota; Metazoa; Chordata; Mammalia; Primates; Tarsiidae.